Molecule: ribosomal RNA, 204 nt
Filed under: uncultured bacterium
Lineage: Bacteria
Description: partial 16S ribosomal RNA
Rfam family: Archaeal small subunit ribosomal RNA
Source: RNAcentral
UAAUACCAGCACCCCGAGUGGUCGGGACGUUUAUUGGGCCUAAAGCAUCCGUAGCCGGUUCUACAAGUCUUCCGUUAGAUCCACCUGCUUAACAGAUGGGCUGCGGAAGAUACUACAGAGCUAGGAGGCAGGAGAGGCAAGCGGUACUCAGUGGGUAGGGGUAAAAUCCGUUGAUCCAUUGAAGACCACCAGUGGCGAAGGCGG